AGUGGAUUAUUAGGUAUAAUUUGAGAGGCCACUCCCUCCUCUUAUCUUUGGUUACUUUAAAGCAUAUAAUGUGUCUGUAGGGCAGUACCCACCCCUACCUCACAGCGUGUGGUUUAGCUGAUACCCUAACUAAGCCUCCAGUUGACCCUAUUCCACCCGUCUAUUACGGAGCAGGGUAAGACCAGUGAAUGCUUUGGGCCUGUUCCCUCUGCUGUAUUUCAUUUGCCGUAGAAUGAGUUCUUGGGUCUGAAGUGGUAUCGUAUGGGAUACAAUGGUAAUAAAUAAGGUGUUUUGUAAAUGAAUGAAUAAUAGAGUAGGCAGAAGUGUUACGGAGGCAAAUCUGAAUCUGUAACAGAAUGAAUUCCCAGGAGGACAAAUCACUCCCACCUCCAUGAUGUGAAAAGUUCCACUGUAAUCAACUUUCCACCAGGUAGCUGACUGGUCCCCGUGAGAAUGGUGCCAUACUGGGAGUAUUGUUUUGGCUUCUGCCAUUGUUGUUUGGGCAUUCAGUGGUAGCUCUAGUCCCAUUAUCCUUGGUGAGGAGAAGGUGAUGUUGAGCCCACGCAUAGCAUUCUUGCCGCCAUGGCUACUUUUUCCAUGGAUCCAUUGAGCAAACACCAGAUGGCUCGGGAAAGAGACUGACUGACAUUCACAGGAGGAAUCAUCUUGUUUCUAUCUGAUUAUUGAGUGUUCUUGCUGUGUCCUCUGGGGAGUAUUUACAUAGAACACAACUGCCUUUACACUUUGCACCCAUUCUUAGAGUCCACAUAUUUUUCUCUUAGACCUGUUUGUCACCAAUCUUCCAAUUUUGUUCUUUCCAAGUCCCUGACCUGUCAGACAGUCUAUUAGCCAUUUCCUAUAUCAGUAGAGAUUUAUACCUCAGACUCUCUUUCCAGAGUGGACCAUCAGAUGAACUCCCAAAGUUCUACCUACUGGAGACUUUUCCCUCAUUGUGUUUUCAGGCUGCCCCUGAGUACAGCUUGUCAUUUGGUGGUCACCCACUUCUCCGUGCCAACAUAUUUCAAAUAUGUGGUAGUGGCAUUAAUUUCUGCAAUUCUCCUUGAGGCUACAGUGUUGAUUUUGUUUACUGUUUUGACAAGAUAGAGUAGUUCCAGAGUCUCUCACUCUACCCUUCCUACACAAUGGCUCCUACUCCAUUAGUCAGGGAACCAAUAUGAGGAUUCUCUCUUCUGGUUGCUAAGCAUGUGUGGGAGAAUAAUGAUACAUCAUUUCCUGUGAAGUGUGUCAGACACACUGUGCGAUACAUUAUUCUCAUUGGAUCAAUAUACCACUUAUCACCUGACCAGUGGACCAAUGGGGUUCCUGGGGACCCUCAGGAGUCAACGUUAAUUCAGAGUCAGUGUGUAAUAACUCUGGGAAGUCUGGAUUUCCUUUUCCCUGUGCCCACUCGCCCUGGUAAAUGGCUGCAGGUCCCUCUGCAGAAAGCAUUAAGGAAGAUUUAUGAUACAAAAUUGUGACUGACUUGCAGAGUCCUUUUUUAAAGGGAUCUGGCCCCCAACACUGGAACUCUGGAUCUAUAAGCUGACUGGAGUCUGGGAAUUGAGUACUUUUCUUACAGUCAGAUUCUGCUCACCUGGCUUAGACUCUCUCUGAUUUUACAGAUCAAGCCAUACCUUACCAGGCUGCCUAUCUAUUUUAUUCCUGGGAACUUUAUGAUGAGUUAGCCAUUUCCAGGGACCUUGAGAGCCAAAAUGCUCUGAUUGCCACUCUGUCCUUGUGCCUUCUUAUGGUAAUUGUGCCUACUUUGUCUUUCCUGGUUAAGUGCUGCCACCUAAUCUUCACUUCAUAGGGAUUCCCUCAUUCCCAUUGAAAUCAGGAAGCCCAGUUCUCUGGCAGUACCUCCCACCAGCAUCUUUGCCCUCCUGAGGAUGCUCAGCACAAGGGUUUUUAUGGAUGCUGGUGCUCUCUUCCCUAAUGCAUCUCGGUGCGCUCCUGGGUCGUAAGGCAGGGAUUGGCUGGGCAGGCUGCACAUACUGAGUUCAUUCCAACAUUCCAACCUUCCCAUCUCCGGAAGCCAUCACACUCCUUUCUCUAACAUGUGCUAGAAAAAUGCCAGCAUCUCAGUCUAGGCCAUCUUUGGACAGGCUUCAGUCAGCUAUACAAGCAAACUGUUAGAGCCAUGCAGUAUUCUAACAGCCAUUUCAGGGCCAAAGCAAAAGAGGGGUCUGCAACUAUUGUAACAGAAUUCAAACUGUCUGUGACAGACGAGGAUGCUGUAUGGAGCCUCUGAUACAGCCUGCUGGAGUGAAAGCACGCCCAUUUGAAAGGCAGUUCCCAGAUCGCCACUGGACACUUUGAAUCUUGAGUUCUUGGUUAAAUGUUGCCAAAUUGCUCUCCAAAAAAGUUAUGACAAACCAGAUUCUCAUCAGCAUUGUAGGAGAAUGCAAAUUCUCUCCAUCUUCGAUAUUAGGUGGGUCCUUUGAGGGGUGAAGACAGCUGUGUAUCAACCGGGAAGCGAGCUCUCACCAGAAACCGAAUGAUGGCACCUGAUCUUGGUCUUCCAGCCUCCAGAACUGCAUUGGUGGAACCUGGGUGGUGGACUGUCACUGACCUGUUUUCGAAAUCUACGUACAUGGUUGGAAAAUAACAGAAAACAGUUCAUACAGCUGCCUUCGUUACCAAGACAACAAACAGAAGAAAUAACUGGCUACGUGGCUUUUCUCUUUUUCUGAACUACCUUCCAAAUACUAGUAAUCUCUUCCCUAAAAUCUGUGUAUCUGUUUGAGAUUACUAGUCGAGUAGUUCCUUUUUUUAGCAAGAGUAUGUUGUGCCCCUGAUUAUAGACUGAGAACAGGGAGUUGUAUUUUUUUCCUCAAGUUUUCUUUUAAAUGAUUUUGAAACAUACACAGUUAAUAACACAUUUAUACAUGUUAAGUAUAAGAAUGUAAAACUUUACAGAAGUGUUUAGUGUAAAAAGUGUAAAUUUCUCUUUCGAGAAUCCUUACCUUGACCAAUAUCAACAUAUUAUAGUGAAUAUGAUUCAGUAUAAUUGACUUCGAGUGAAUUUAAGGGCAGCAAUGUAUUCAGCUCAGUAAAAACUACAUGUUCAAUAUAUGUGUUUAAAAAAGCCAAAAAAACAUUAAAACCCUUUAAAAUUUAUAUGAACAAAAUGUGUUUCUUUUAUGAAAUUCAAAAAAAACAAGCAAAAAACAAUACAUAAAUUACCCACAGUUACCACUACCCAGUCACCGCCACUAAUAUUUAGUUUUUAAUGCUUUUCAAAACGAUUAUUUUAAAGUAAAUAAUCCUUUAAAGUAAGUGUUUAUUUUAAAGUAAUACAUGUUCAUUAAAUAAAAAAAUACAUUAAUAAUGAUUAUAAGAGCAUUAAUAAUGGCUACUCUUUAUUUAACACUCUAAGUGCCAACCCUGUGUUAAGAGCUUAUAUGCAUAAAAAUAAAACCAUUUUUGGGGGGUAACAUUUGAAACAUGAAUUUCUGAUCCUUUCUUUCCUUCUGUAUAUAGGCAUUUAAAAAAUUAUGUAGUGAUAAUUGUAGUGUAUAAUUAGUUUUGAAUUCUGAUUUUUCAUAAAAGAUUUUUUCUGUGAUGCUAUAUACUCUUUGAUACCACUUUGA
Rhinolophus ferrumequinum (greater horseshoe bat) is the source of this 3593-nucleotide long non-coding RNA. RefSeq lists it as uncharacterized. The record is from RefSeq and is a predicted model, not a curated record. NCBI's taxonomy places the organism in Eukaryota, Metazoa, Chordata, Mammalia, Chiroptera, Rhinolophidae. The transcript is spliced from 5 exons.